Molecule: ribosomal RNA, 301 nt
Filed under: uncultured bacterium
Lineage: Bacteria
Description: partial 16S ribosomal RNA
Rfam family: Bacterial small subunit ribosomal RNA
Source: RNAcentral
CAGUCGCCGCGGUAAAACGUAGGGUGCAAGCGUUAAUCGGAUUUACUGGGCGUAAAGCGUGCGUAGGCGGCUUUUUAAGUCGGAUGUGAAAUCCCUGAGCUUAACUUAGGAAUUGCAUUCGAUACUGGGAAGCUAGAGUAUGGGAGAGGAUGGUAGAAUUCCAGGUGUAGCGGUGAAAUGCGUAGAGAUCUGGAGGAAUACCGAUGGCGAAGGCAGCCAUCUGGCCUAAUACUGACGCUGAGGUACGAAAGCAUGGGGAGCAAACAGGAUUAGAUACCCCCGUAGUCCCUGUCUCUUAUAC